UGCAUCGGCCGGGAAUCGAACCAGGGCCACCCGCGUGGCAGGCGAGCAUUCUACCACUGAACCACCGAUGC
Molecule: transfer RNA, 71 nt
Filed under: Cordylochernes scorpioides
Lineage: Eukaryota; Metazoa; Arthropoda; Arachnida; Pseudoscorpiones; Chernetidae
Description: tRNA-Gly
Source: RNAcentral